AUGUUGGAUGUCGUUCUGCACAAGACGGUGAUUCUAGGAGAGGAGGAGCAAGCUAAGGUGGCUGAGAUAGUCAUAGCGAGCAAUGAUAUGGAGCAUAUUGAGGUGGCCGUGCCUGAUGGUUUGGUUGGAGAGGUGCCUCCCUUCGUCCCCUCUUCAGUGAAGCUUGCUUCAGGGGGCACUACCAAUAUGAUGUCUUCUGGGUCCGAGGAACCACUUGGUGAUAUUGGCGUGCCAUCAACUACCUUGUUGGAUGAGUUCCUAAGCAGUUUCAGUUGCGCGGUACCAUGUUCCUUGCUCGAGGAACCGAUUCAUGUGCAGAUUGAAGGGGCAUCUUCUUGUUCCGAGAGGCGUAGUUGA
Molecule: ribosomal RNA, 357 nt
Filed under: Triticum aestivum (bread wheat)
Lineage: Eukaryota; Viridiplantae; Streptophyta; Magnoliopsida; Poales; Poaceae
Description: partial small subunit ribosomal RNA
Source: RNAcentral